UUUACAUGAGUCAGCCAGAAGGUUUUGUCAGUAACGAGUACCCUAAUAGAGUGUGUAAGCUUGAGAAAUCCAUUUAUGGAUUGAAGCAAGCACCUCGCAGAUGGAAUCUUUGCUUUGAUGAGAAAGUCAAGGAAUUUGGCUUUUCUAGGAGUGAAGAUGAAUCUUGUGUGUAUGUCAAGGCUAGUGGGAGUAUAGUUAGCUUUUUGGUAUUGUAUGUGGAUGACAUACUACUCAUAGGAAAUGACAUCCCAACUUUGCAGGAAGUUAAGUCCUGGCUUGGGAAGUGUUUCUCUAUGAAGGACCUAGGAGAAGCUGCCUAUAUUAUAGGGAUAAGGAUUUUGAGAGACCGGAGUAAAAGACUAAUUGGACUUAGUCAAAGUACCUACUUGGACAAGGUGUUGAGGAGAUUCAGCAUGCAUAACUCCAAGAAGGAGAGUUACCCAUCCAAAGUAAUGCCGGAUUGAGUAAGACACAAAGCCCUAGUACUGAGGCUGAGAUAGCAGAAAUGAGUCGAGUACCUUAUGCUUCGGCAGUAGGCUCGAUCAUGUAUGCUAUGACUUGUACUCGACCUGAUGUAGCCUUUGCCUUGAGCAUGGUUAGCAGGUAUCAGGGGAACCCUGGAAAGGCUCACUGGACUGCGGUAAAGAAUAUUCUCAAGUACCUGCGGAGGACAAAGGAAUGGGUCCUUACUCUUGGUGGGAGUGAUGACUUGAGAGUUGUAGGGUAUUGUGAUGUUGGCUUCCAGACUAAUAGGGAUAAUUUCCUCUCUCAGUCGGGCUGGGUCUUUACCCUAAACGGAGGAGCAAUUUCUUGGAAGAGUUCCAAGCAAGAGACAGUGGCAGAUUCUACUUGUGAAUCAGAGUAUAUUGCAGCUAGCGAGGCAGCAAAGGAGGCGAUAUGGCUGAAGAACUUCAUUGGAGACCUUGGAGUUGUACCAGCUAUUAAAGAGCCAAUGGAAAUUUUCUGUGAUAGUGAAAGUGUUGUUGCCUUAGCCAAGGAACCAAGGGAUCACGGGAGAUCCAGACACAUCGACAAAAAAUAUCAUUUUAUCAGACAUCGCAUAGAAGAAGGAAUCCUCGUGGCAAAGAGGGUAUCAUCGGAUGAGAACCCAGCAGAUCCCCUCACGAAGGGACUGAGUAGGGUUAAGCAUCUCCAGCAUGCUCGGAGCAUAGGGAUGAAGGAUGAUAUAAGUUUUAGUAGUUAGAUACAUUAUGAAAUUUGUAAAGUGUAAUUGACAUUUGAUGAUGAAUAAAACUUGUGUUUAUUUAUGAAUAAAGUGUUACUAUCUUUUGUCAAUCGUUUACUAUAUUUCUUUUGCAUGUUUUGACUUCCACAAUAAUUAUGUUUGGUAUAUAAUAUUAUUCAAACUUCCACAGUCGGUCAUAUGUCGGAAGUAGGUAUGAAUCAAGACUGUCAUGAUUGGUUGCAGAGGUCUAAGAUGUUGGACAUGGCUACAGCAAUCAUGAGUGCUCAUAAGUUAUGAGUAUUGGAAUCAACCCACGCUCACUGGAAUCACUUCAUGGAAUUUUAUCUCGAGUGAUCGUGAGACGGUAAUAUCAUAUAAGUCUUCAAACGUAGAGAUAUGAUUUGUUGCCUAUGAAUUGAUUGAACGAAAACGCAUUGGUAACUCGAUGUUAUAAAACGUGCUUUUGUGUAUAAUUCAACUAGUAGUAGAACAAACAUAUGAGUCGAAGUUUAUAUGUUCCUUCUUGGAUUAGAACCUGAUAUUUGGGACCCUCAAUGAUUUUGUUUUGACCUAUGUACCAGGCCUGGUCAGAACUAAGUUGAUGUGUUCAAUUAAGUUGAUGUGUUCCAUUAAGCACUUAUUAGGGUUUUAGCGAAACCCUGCAUACACCCAGCAUAAAUCUCGUACGCCCAGUGUAUUUGGUCAACCACCCCGAUGGUGGUCAACAUCAGGACGAGUACGCCCCGCAUACCAGAGGAGUACGCCCCGCGUACGUCCUCUGUUGGGCCUUUGGCAAUUGGGAUUCUGGUAUUGGGUUGUUUAUGGACUAGUUGGAUUUGGGCCUUUGCAAGACUUUAUGAAUAUAAUGUUUUGGGCCAAGUUUUGAUAAUGGAUCUUGGAAUUAGGCCCAAUUAGGGAGUUGGGCCCAAUUUGGUAAAUUGGGCCAAUAAUAGGCUUGGCGUAAGGACUUUCAAGGUUAUGGAAUUGGCAUUGGGCCUUGGCCCAAUAAAGAGACUGGUCAUGAUGGAUUGUGUGUACCCCUUAGUAAAGAUUGUUAUGUUGUGUAAUGACUUGGUAUUUAUUAUUUGGAUAGUUUGGGAUCUUUGGUGAGGCAGCGAUUCGGGAGUUCGAUUCUUCAGUUCGGAUCAGCUUUGCGAGGUGAGUUUUCCUCACUAUACUCAAGGAUCUAAGGCACCAAGGCCGACCCUUUUAGAUUGCUAUCCUGAUAUGUAUAUUCUCGAGUGUUGUUAUGAUUGUUAGAUCAGUAUCCUAGUAGAUAGGAUGUUAUAUGUUGUUAUGAUAUGUUAAAUCAGUAUCCUGGUAUAUAGGAUGUUAUAUGCUGUUAUGAUCCGUGAGAUCAGUAUCCUGGUAGAUAGGUGUUGGAUAAGGUGUCUAAGUCCAUAACUAUUUCUGGUAAGUACUUGACCCGACCCGGCAUGGUCCAUUUGGGUUGCAUGGCACCAUGCAAUUGGAUAAACUAAAUGAGAGAAAUAACACAUAUGGUUUAUUAAUAUAUUAUAAGUUCUAAUAUAUUAAUAAUAUUAUUUAAUUAGUUUUGAUCAAGAAUUAAUUUAGAAUUAAUUAAGUGAUCAAAAGAUAACUAAUUAGAUAUAUGGGUAGAUUAAGUAAAUCUUCCAUAUCUUAUAUAGUGGACUAAGAUGCUCCAUGGAUUAUCAAGUUGGGUUCCACCCAUAAGAUGCUCCAUGGAUGCUCCAUGGAGUUAACCCAUGGAUCAAGAAAUGAAGAGUCAUGGAACAUUAGGGUUUACCUAAUGCCACACACUAUAUAAGCAAUGUAACUCUCCCCAAAAUCGGCCACACUAAGAAACAAGAGGGCUUGGCCGAUUUUGCAUGUGUUAAAGUAUUCUCUCAAGUUUAUUCUUUGCAUUUGGUGUUGUGUGAAGCAUUUGAGGCAUCACACUUGAGGUGCCAAGUUCACAAGCUUUCAAGGAACACUUUCAACAACAAGGUAUGUAGUUCUAUCUUUUAUACAAAGAAAAUUGUACCCCAUGUAUGCUAGAUAGGUUCAUAACCUUGGAAAACAACUUUUCAUGAUUAUUAGACAAACAUAGAUCCAAGGUUAUGAGGUUUGCAUGUACACUUAGGAAGUGUUAGAAUGCUCAAAACCCAUCAAUAGGAUGUUAUAUGUUGCCAUGAUCUGCAAGAAUAGAGAUAUGAGAAAUAUAAGAAGGAUGGAAGGAACAUCCGGGGGUGGAUGACUUUCAUGUACAAUAUCAUAACAAUUGAAAAAAAGAGAUCAAAGCAAAUACAACCAUCAUAUAUAUAUAUAUAUAUAUAUAUAAUUGAAAAAGUUACAUCAUUGUAAGUGUUACAUAUUUCAAAAGUCAAUUACAAUAUGAUAAUACAAGAUUUGUUUGGCGCCUUAGCGUCCCAUCCUUAAAAGCUAGUGGUUACCUGUUUUAAUGAUUCCCUAAGAAUACAAGUUGUUUUGAAAAAGUGUCAACAAUUAAGUCGGUGAGUCCAUAAGAGUUUGUAUGAAUAAUUGUAAGCCUUUUCGUGUAAAGAAAUCGUGUUUGUUUUCAGAAAAUCCAAUAUUUUCCAUAAAAUGAGUUGUAAGCAGUUUACUUGUAAAAUGAAGGUGUUCGUUCUAGAAAAUCCAAUAUUUUCCGUAGAAAUGAGUUGUAGUUUUAAAGGUUCCAAGAUCGAAAGGAACCAAUGUUUGCCAUUUAAAAUAGUAAAAUGUAGUUUUAUUCGUGUAUAAAACUGUUUGAAGAAAUGUGUUUUUGUGUAAAAAUAUACAUAUGGUCGUUUCCCUAUGUGAGUUUUCAUAACCAUGCUAAAAAUGAAUUGUCUUCCGCGACAUUCUUCAGGCGUCGAAGUGUGUAUGAUAUUUGUCACCCAUAACCUGCCGGUAUGACUGUAGCUAACAGUCAGGGUGUGGGAUCAUCAGUCUCAUAUAGAUCUAUACACAAGUAUGACGCUCUCUUACGGGAGAUUCUGGUUAUGAAACCGGACUUUCGUGUAUACCUCAAUUAGGUACGAUGAAGACAAUGUCUUACAAAUUUAUUCAACGAGAGUACAUGUUUUUGUAAUGAAAAUGUUUGUAUAUGUAAUUAUCCCCUUUUUCCAGGAUAAUUAAGGUAUGGCGUAAAACAGUUAUAUAUGUACUUUAUAUAAUUACACCCUUAGCUCAACGGGUUACAAAGGCGGUAAAAUUUCGUAAACUAUAUUUAUAUAGUUUAAUGUAGCAAAUGUUUUGUACUAUAUAUAUAUAUAUAUAUAUAAGAAUAAUGUGGUGUAUUUUGCACUCGUUUUUCAUAUCUUUACGUUUUUAUCAAAACAUUAUAUGUAAAAAUAUAUGAGGUUGUUAGUAAAGUUGUUUCACGUAUUACACUUUUUGUAAGAAUAGUAAAUAAACGUAUUUUAAAUUUUGCAUUCUAACAUAAAUUUUCUUGUGUGUUACUUGUAUUCCUCCCCCCUCCCCCCCAAAACAAAAAAAAGUCUUGAAAAAUGUUGGGGUAUGAACUCACAUCGAGUGUGUUCUUGGCAAGAUAACAAGGUAAAAACGAUGAUCUUCGAGUUUGAAUACGUAAAGAUAGUCGUAUCCUAAUGGUUUUAAACACAUAAUGACAUGUGUAAAUUAGAUGAAACUAAUAUUAAAGAGCAUUGAACACUGUAUUAACAAGAAGAUACUUACAACAAUUCCUAAGGAAUCAACUUGUGGUAUUAACUUCCUGGAAGAUUUGAAUGUGUUACAUGGGAUUAAUAUAUCAAUGUUGAAGGUGCUUCUUUGAGAGAAUUAUGGUGAAGAUGUUUUAACUGAGAAGUGUUUUGAAGGGGCUCUAAACGUGAUUAUAUAGGGUAAAUAGGAGGAUAAGGUGAAGUCACAUUUGCCUUGAUAUGUGUAAUUAUCUUCUUGGGGAAAUAAUCCACCAAUCAAGUUGCACGUUAUCUAGAUAUUUGGGAAGAUUUCGGCCAAGCAUUAACCAAAUAAAAGGUGAUUUCGGCCAACACCAACCGAAAUCACUUGUGAUUUCGGUCUUGGCUCAAACCAAAAUCAACAUGGCGAUUUCGGUCUUGGUCCAACUGAAAUCACAUGUAAUUUCGGUCUAGUGCCAACCGAAAUCCCAUGUUCUUUGUGGUUUGACUCUUUUGACCUUUGACUCAUUUAAUUCAUUGUUGACUUGUUGACUUGGGAAAGUUUACUACAUCAUGGUUUUUAACAUAUCUAAACAUAUUAACUUAUAUAAACAUGCCCACUUGGCUUUCAAACUUCUAUUGCAUCAAGUUACAUUGUGAAUUCACUUGUACAUGGUUAAAAUUUAGACCUUGCUUGUUCUAGAAUUUUCCAGUUGUCACAACUUCUCCACAAACGGAAGUUCUCAUUACCAGUAAGUCUUAAAGUGACAAUGGUGGUUGUUGCAUUAUCUGAGGGAUGAAUGUAAAGGGUAUCAUCGAAGUUAAUUGGAUUCGAGUCAUCCUUUCCACUUCCCUCAGGAGGAGUAUUAGGACCAACCAUAGAAACAAAUUAUACACAAAUAAGCAAAUAGAUAAGCAAACACAAUAAGAAAAAUACAAACAAUUGUAUUUACCUUAAAGUCUAGAUGGUCACCACGUUUCUAAUACAAAGUCGAAAAACACACAUGAAAAAAGCACAAUGAAAUAAAAGAGAAAAUAAGGACAAAAAAUAACUGGUGUACUCAAGACACAAGGAUCUCUUAGAACUACAACUAAUAAAGAAGAUAUAAGAGAACGACAAAGCCUCACAAAGGUCCAGUGCAACUUCAAAAUCCAUAUAACCGCUCACCUCUCCUAGAGUUCGUUCCGUAUUAGAGUUAUUUUAGAUCGAAGAUCUGUUCUCUAAAAAGAAUUAAUCAACCCUAAAUUUGAGAUUGGGUGAGGAGACAUAGAGCAGAGAAUCAACAUCAUCUCUGAGGAGAUUUUCCAACACCACAGAUCCUUCAUGACCAGAGAAACGAUCCACCAUAACUGCAAGAGUAAACGAAAGACUCGCAAUAACCGAAUUCACACAAAAGUAACUGAUAAAAGAAAAGAACACAAGUAACCCUAAAUCAAACACCAUCGAUGUCAAAUCUACAAGGUUACAAGAAGCAAUAACAACCACAAGAAGGAAACCCUAUAACUGACACAAUCGGUGUCAGGUCUACAAGGUUACACAACCAAAUAGCAGAAAAUAGAAGAAAAUUUGUGGAAGAACAAGAAAAAAAAAGAAAAAAACCUGAUAAAUCAUCAUUGAUCUUCGAUAAACGUCACCAACAACCAACCGGAAUCUCCAGUGGCUCUAAUUCCAUGUUAGAAAGUAUAAACGAGACAGAUACAACACAUUCCCAACAUCAUUAAUUUAUUUAUUUAUGAAUGAGAUGGUUUACAUCAACAAUAUACAACUGAAACCUCACUAUAGAUUCUCUCACACUCAGAAGGUAUAUAAGAUGCACAAGAACAUAAAUGGAGUACAAAGAUCAUUAAGAAACCCUAAACUGAACAAACCCUAACUGUGUAUAAGAAUACCAUGAAGCGAGAGGAAACACACAUAAUCUGUAAGUGAAGGAAUAAACGAAUAAAACAUUUGCAACUCUCGAGUACAAUAUAUACUCGGGUCAACGAAUAUGGUUGGACACCUGUCGGGUACCCAUGACCCCCAUGUUUCUAUUAACCUGCAAAUGAAAACAACUAACACCCACUACAUUCAAGAACUUAUAAUUCUUACCCUUAAAUAAAAUAAAUUACUUUUAAAGAACAAAUGAUGAUGAUAAGUUUGAUAUUGAGUAUAUACUUUCAACAAAUCUUUUUAUAUGCACAAUUACAAAUGCAACAGGGGUAACAAUAAUAGUAAAAAAUAGUAACUAUUUUACAAAACAUAACAAAAACAACAUGAGAUGGUGCAGGAGCGGGUCGAUGAUGACACUGGGGAAGCCCAGUCAACCAAUAGGGGGAAAAAAUUUCAUUCGCUUGUUUAACUGCUAAGAAUAAUUUUAUCUUUCGACUGGGAACUGCUUACCUUUGGCGCUUUCUAUUUUUUUAUAUAAGGUAGUAAUCCCAUAGAGGCAAGGGCGAUCAAAGGCUUUGUGGUUGUCACGAACUGGAUUCUAACCAGCUCCUCUGGGAGCAAAAGACAGGCCCAACGAACUACCAUUCAUUCGGAUCGCGACUUGGUUACCUAGUUCCCCUAUUGUGAGGGUACAUCUGGGGCCAGCUGCAUGGACCUACUUACCAUGCUAGUUGACUAGUGACUUGCUUGUUGGUUCGCGAGUCUGCUUCUCGUUUGAUCCGUGGUCUGCCACCGAUAGGUGGCCAAUCGUGUUUCUUGAGAGGGUUGUAUCCAAGUUAUUCGACUACGAUUUAUCCGAAGCGGUUAGUUUCUUGUUAUCUUGUCUAGUGGUGAAUUUAAUGCCCCGUGGGUGACGACCCCGGGAUCUACUGUCAGUAUGAGUGGGUACCCGUAGGGCUAUCUUGGUGCAUGGCCUCUUUUCGUGUUGUCCCGCCACCUAAUUAUUUGGUGGUGUGUAGAACUUGUGUACCCGGGAAGGGUGUUUACCAACUACGCCGUCCCCGGGGAUGACGUAGUAAUCGCGGAUGAGAAUGUCGCGACCCGUUACAAGGAGUCCCUAGACACUUUGGAUUCGGCGAGCUACUCCGCUUUCACAUUCAGAUUAGAGAAAGAUGGUUACUACAUUGAUAGAGGCAUACAAGUAUUCGUUUAUCCCAAUAGUAAUAGCCCACGGAGCAGUAAUUUAGUGGUCCUUAACAAUUAAGAAGAACUAGAACAUGAAUUUGUAUUGUUGUUCGAUGACAUAUAUGGUGGUGUUCGACAAUAUUCUUAAUGUACAAGUAACAAUGCCUCUAUUAGCUAUAACUUUUAUUGGUCGGAUACUUAAAAAGACUUUGAUAUGAAUGAUCCUUAUGAUUUAUAAAUGCAUCAUCGUUGCUCUCUUUUGUUGUUAUCUUCAAUCCCUUACAAUUAAAGGGCCUCAUGUUCCCCUCAUACCAAGUCAUUUCCGUAAAGAAACAAUUGUCCAUUUUUCGUUGAAUGCUCAUCGUAUGAAAUUUGGAAUUGUUAGUUGUUGCUUAUGUUCUAUUUGGUAAACUAUAUUUUUUUUCUUGAUUUGAUUUAUGUUUUAUGGGUGCCAUAUGUUUUUUUUCAUCAUAUGGUAUUAUGUUGCUGCAAGUUUGUUGAAUUGGUAUUGUGUUUGAAAUUAUAUUGCAAUCACAUAAAUUCAAGUAUCCACAUAAUUCUUGGAAUGACAUUGAAAUAUGUUUUUUUGUCUAACAUGAUUACAUUAUCUUAAAAAUAGUAUUUGUAACUUUUAUGAUCAUUUAACGAUUGCACUGUAUUUUUGAAUGGUUUAAACACUUGUUAAGGGUUACUAUGUGUAAUAAUCUCACCAUUUCGUCUCCACAAAAUUCUUUUGACAAUAAGUGGAUAAAAUUUUACAAUUUUAUUUGGCUAAAAUUCAGUAAUCAUAUCUGAAUCCAUUUGACCAUUACAUUGUAAAAUAUUCUCCAUGGUUUUAAAUUAGCCAUUUCAGUAAGUAAACAAAAAAAUUCACUUUUAUCAUCACUUAACUACCAAACACGACAAAAAAAAAUCGCUUUUACUUGAAAAAAGUACGUCUAAAAACCAAUACAUUAGUAAAAAUUACUAAAGAAAAUAAUAAUGAAAAAAACCCAACUAACAUAAAACAUGAUAUUAUAUACCUUACAACUUUUAGUGAGUCUUUAAGUCUGUUCUUCAAGCUUAGCAAACCUAGAAUAAUGUCUAUCGACAUACUGUAUAUUGGCAGGUCAAUCCAUCCAAUAAAGUUGUACUUCGAGCCAAACAUAGAACAACUUUAGAAUCUCUCAUUUGGGUUGAGGUUAGUCUAUGGUGUGAUGAUGAUCUUCUUGCUUCCACAUGACCAUUUAAUGUUUCUUUGAUUGAUCAAUUGUAGCUUCAUAACUGUAGAAGAUAAUGUAAAAGGGAAAUAUGUUUUUAAUCUAGCAAGUUUAAUAUAGAUGUUGAAAGUAGAAAGGGAUAAGUAAAAGACAAAACUUUAUAAAUGGUCCAUAUGGUAUCUCGAAAUCUAAAGUUUAGUCCCUAAGUUUAAAAGACCUCACAGGUGGUCCCUGUGGUUUCAAAAAUUUUAAUGUUUGGUCCUUAUGCCUAACUUCGUCAACUUUCUAUAGUUAAAUGAAGGGUAUUUUCAUCAUUUCACUACCCCAAUUACCAUUUAUGAGGUUUUGACUUAUUUAAAACAAAAGCAAAAAGAAAAUAUAUUAUUUAAUAAAGGGUCCCACCCACCCUCCUUCCAUCCCCUUUCUUUCUUUCUCUCUCUAUCUAUAAAGACAGACACAUACACACACAUCUCUAUCUCUUUCUCUCAACAACAACACACACACACAAACUCUGAUAAACCAGAUCGAGAACACUUCUUGUUUUUUAUAAAAUCGUGAGAUACAUUGUGCCAACAGACCCACCCCUAUUCUUUGACAAUCGACUCCAUCCUAUUUUCUCAGUCGUUCUGUCAUACUAUUCCAGCCGGUAAACCUUAACCACCUUCGUCGUUGACCUUCUUGCUGGUAAGUACUUCACCCUUAAAAUCCAACGAUCACCUCCUUACGAUGGUAUAUGCCUUAUUUCUCCCUAUAUACCUGUCAAUACCCCCUCAUUUGUUGAGAAACAGAUUAAAAAGAAAAAAUCUGCAAAGGAAACCUGAAGAACAAAAUUUGUUUGAUCCAUUCCUUUAUUCUCACCGAGAAAUCAAUAAUCCCAAAUCAAACGAUCAAGAAACAUUAAACCAAAAUAUUGUUGGAUAAGGUGUCUAAGUCUAUAACUAUACUUGGUAUGAACUUGACCCGACCCGGCAUGUCCAUUUAGGUUGCACUUCACCUAACUAUUUAUAUGGAUAUAUUUUUGAGAAUAAGAUGUUUAUGAUCUAUUAAUAUAUUAUAAGUUAUAAUAUAUUAAUAUGAAAUCAUAUUAUUUAAUUAGUGUUGAUCAAGAAUUGAUUUUUGGAAUUAAUAAAAUGAUUAAAAGAAGCUAAUUAAAUAUAGACUCUUACAUAUAUACGGAAUGGGCUAAGAUUUAUUUAGGACGGGCUAAGAGUAUAUGGAAGUCCAUGGAUAGUCCAUGGAGCUUUUAACCCAUGGAUCCUAGGUAAAUGAAGAGUCAUGGGUAUUAGGGUGUAACCCUAGUCCUCCAUAGUAUAUAAAGAGGUCCUUGGUUCUAGAAUUGGCACUAGUGUGUGUGAGAAACAAGGGUGGGCCGAUUUUAGCAAGCAUCAUAUUCUCUCAAGUAUUUCCAAGUAUUUACAAGUACCUAUUAACAUGCUAGUUAGGUUGUAAACCUUGGAAUUCAAAUUUGCACGUAUUUUAGAGAAAACAUAGAUCCAAGGUUUCUAGGGUUGCAUGUACACCAUAGGAGUGUUAGAAUGCUCAAAACCCAACAGUGGUAUCAGAGCCUAGGGUUGUUUUCUUGAUACUUGAUGCAACUUGUUAAAAAAAGCUCAAAAAUCUACUAUCUGCUGCAUGAACUCGUCGAGUCCAUGGGGGGACUCGACGAGUCCAUGUGAUAAUUCAUCCUACUCGUCGAGUAGGAGCCCCUAAUUGCAGUUUUUCGAGUUUCUCUGCUGGAAAUGGACUAGAAACGUUGCCCUAAACUGUUUUGGUGUUUUAAAACUUUUUUUUAGAUGGUGUAAUGUUUAUGCUAAUCCAUUUACAAAGGGUAAUAUCAAAAUUCCAUAUUUUAUAUGUGUUAAUAUGAUUCUUGAAAUUUUGAUAUGAAUGUUCAUGUUGUUAUGAGUUAUUGUUAGAUCAUAGGGAUUAUUUGCUGAAUUGUUUAAUGAUUAAUUCUUGAUCAAUUAUGUGUUUUAAUGGAAUCCAUAAUUUGUCCUCAAGUUAUGGAUUACCAAAAGUCUCUCUUUUAAAGUCCAUAUAAAAAACACAUAGGUUACAUAAAAUGAAAAGUCACUCAUUUUAAUAAACCAUUAACUCAUAAGUUAUGAAGUUAAUUGAAAAGUCUUGAAUAGUUUCAAAAUUUUCCCUCAAGUUUGGAAUUUGUAAAGUCUCACACAUUAAUACUUUAAUUCCAAAUUGAACCUUAGAAUUUUAUAGUUUAAAAUUCAACCCUUAUACUUCUAUAAUAUUAUAAGUUUAAUUAUUAUAUAUAUGUAUAAGAAUAAGUCAGUCUUACUGUUAGUAGGCCUCAUUCACGAAGCCAGUUUAUAAAGGGGGUAUAAGGUUACUACUUAUAAAAUGGAGGUUUAAUGGGUGUCCACUCUCACCCACCGCUUCCUUUAAUGGUGGAGGGUCGUUAGUCGAACAGGUAGGAUAGGACUUUAAUCCUCAUUAAAAGUAUAAUGAAAUUAUAAAGUAACUAAACCUUUAUUAAUUCCCAAUCUUAAUUACUUUAGGAAAAUAUGAAAUAGGUGCUAACCCAUGAAUUUACACUUUGUAACUUACCAAGUCGUUAGUGGAGCGUGUGUGGUUAACCGACACACUAACAAGGAUUAGUAAGAGUGGCAAAAGGUGACUUAAGUUUUAUCAUAGAUCGGUGGAGCGUGUGUGGUUAACCGGCACAUUGAUUGGGUGAUAAAAUUAAGGGUACCAAGUCAAUUUGCAUGGUUAUUCAUACCUUGUUUAUGAUCCUCGGCAUCCCAGUCACAAACUUGAGAGGGCACAAUCGAGAUUUAAACAUUCCAUUGAAAGUACAAUGUAUCUCAAAAGAUCUAGGAGUUUCAAAUACAAUUAAAACUUAAUAAUUUAUUUUGUUUAUAAUGGUGGAAAUUGGUAAAUCGUCAUUUACCUACCUUCAAAUAUUUUAUAGCUUGUAUUACGACAUCCCUCUUCCAAGUUAUGAAAUAGUUUGUAGGAUCCUAGCCUUAAUAUUUCAUUUGGGUGUUUUAUAGCUUGGAUUACGGCAUUCCUCUUCCAAGUUAUGAAAUAGUUUGUAGGAUCCUAGACUUAAUAUUUCAUUUGGGUGACUUAUUAAGGACUUCUUAUCUAAUUAAAACUUGUCUUUCUUUUCUUUCAGAUGUCUUCCAACACUGCUGCUGGCUCAAACGCUACAAGUUCCUUUUCCCUCAUAAACUUAUGUGGGAAGGUCACUUUUGAUGGUUCUAAUUUCAAUGAAUGGAUUAGGAACAUCAAAAUGAUUACCUGCUAUGAGGACAAGGAAUAUGUCCUUGACAGGGAGCUUAAGGUUAUCAAUGAGUCCACUGCUACUCCUGAGGAGAUUGUGGAGUAUGUUGCACAUGAGAGGGAUGCUACUAAGGUGUCCUGCAUUAUGUUGGCUACUAUGACUCCCGAACUCCAGAAAUCCUAUGAAGAUUUAUACCCCUAUGAGAUGCACCUGGAUCUGAUGGAUAGGUCCCAUUAGAGCGCGCAUCAAGAUAGGUAUGAAAUCAUCUCCUCCAUAAUAACAGCUAGGAUGAAGGAUGGUGAAACCAUCACCGAUCACUUGCAAAAAAUGCAAAGGUUUGUGGACCGGUUGCUGAAACUUAAUGUGGACUUCCCUGAGGACAUGGCGAUUGAUAUCAUUCUCCAUUCCUUACCUCCAAGUUAUGAUCAGUUUCGUAUGACUUAUCAUAAACAAGGAGGAAGUUACACUCAAUAAACUUCAAGGACUUUUAAGGACCGCUGAAAGUGGCCUUAAAGGUAAAUCGGUUGUUACUUCUACUCCUACUCCUACAACAGCCCUUGUUCUGGCAAUUAGGUAGGGAAAGGGGAAGAAGAGGAAGACCCCUUCGAAGGGUACUAAGGGAAAGUAUCUUAAUGGCUCCUCUUCAGGUGGGACCAAGAAAGGUCCCAUUCCUCCUUCUUAAAACCCAAAGGAAGUACAAUGCUUCUACUGCCACGAAAAGGGGCACUAGAAGCGAAUCUGCCCUAAGUACUUGCAGGAUGUAAAGGAUGGGAAAGUUAAACCCACCCAUGUAGGUAUUUAUACCAUAUUGUCUACAAACUCAUUCCAUACUAACUCUUGGGUGCUUGAUACAGGUUGUGGUAUUUACAUUUGUACUGAUUUGCAGGGCCAAAGAAGUAGUGAAGAAGUGGAGCACGAGAAGAUAAACUUAAUCAUGGGCAAUAGGAUAGCAUCACCUAUGACCAAGAUUGGAGUUUAUUCUUUAUUGCUUAAUAAUGGGUUAACUUUAGAUUUGAAUAAAUGUUGUUACUCGUCAGAAAUGACGAGAAAUAUUAUUUCCUUUCAUAGUUUGUACAAGCAAGGAUUCACAUUUUCAUUUAAUAAUAAAAUUGGUGCUAUUGAUGCUUUUUAUAAUGAUGUGUUUUAUUUUAGAGAAUUACCUUGAUGGUGUAUAUGAAACUGUGUCGAUUGUAGACAACUUAGAAAACAAUGUAUUUCAUAUUGAUUCUUCGAUUACCUUGGAUAAAGCAUCCUUGUGGCAUUGUCAUCUUGGACAUGUCAACAAGAAGCGUAGAGGUCAACUCCAGAAGGCUGGAGUUUUGGAAUCAUUUGACCUAAAAUCAGAUGAUAGUUACGAUUCUUGCUUGCUUGGAAAAAUGACAAAGUCACCCUUCACUGGUUCUUGUGAGAGGGGUGAAGGUUUGUUGGACCUCAUACACACAGAUGUGUGUGGACCCUUCAAAACCGCCACAAGAGAUAUCGUUAUUAUGUGACUUUUACUGAUGAUUACAGUAGAUAUGGAUAUAUCUACUUAAUCAAGCAUAAGUCAGAAAUCUUUGAAAAAUUCAAAGAGUUUAAGCAGGAAGUGGAGAAUCAACUGGGCAGGAACAUCAAGAUGCUCUGAUCCGAUCGGGGAGGAGAGUAUCUUAGUAUUGAGUUCCUUGACUAUCUUAAGGAAUGUGGGAUCGUCUCACAAUUGACAUCUCCUAGGACACCACAGCUGAAUGGUGUGGCUGAGAGGCGCAAUCGAACCUUGUUGUAUAUGGUUCGUUCCAUGAUGAGUCAAGCUUCGUUACCAAUCAAUCUCAUUCUGGGGGUGUGCCUUAGAGACUGCCGCCCAUAUCCUUAAUCUAGUCCUUACCAAAAUGGUUGCCAAAACACCUCAGGAGAUGUGGAUUGGGAAAGUUCCCAAUCUAGACCACAUCAAGAUUUAGGGUUGCGAGGCUUUUGUGAGGCGCGAGUCUCAUGACAAGCUCGAACCUCGAAGUAAGAGGUGUAUUUUCAUCGGCCACCCACAAAAAUCCUUUGGUUACCUCUUCUACAUACCUAGUGAGAAUGUGGUCUUUGUGGCAAGAAGAGGAGUCUUUCGUGAGAGAGAAUUUAUAAGCCAAGGAGACAGUGGGAGGCAAAUUGACCUUGAAGAGAUUCAAGAGUUAAGUGGUGAAGGAACCUCAAACACUAGCGACCAACCUGAGAAGGAAACUCCUGUUGAGCCGAUAGAUGAGUCCGUACCUCCGAGGCGUUCUACUAGAGUUAGGAACACACGUGAUUUUUAUUAUGGUUAUCACAUCACUACUGAAGGUGAUACAUUUAUCAGUGACAGUACACUGAUAGAUUUGGAUGAACCUAAUAAUUACAGGGAAGCCAUGGCAGGACCCGAGUCUGCUAAAUGGAAGGAGGCUAUGGACAGCGAGAUUUAGUCCAUGUAUGACAAUUAAGUUUGGAACUUGGUUGAAAAUGUAUUGGGUCGUAAGACAGUUGGGUGCAAAUGGAUCUUCAAGAAGAAGAUCGACAUGGAUGGGAAGGUACACACUUACAAAGCGCGACUGUUUGCGAAGGGCUUUACUCAAACUCCGGGAGUUAACUAUGAUGCGACCUUCUCACCAGUAGCGAACAUUAAGUCUAUUAGAGUUCUGCUAGCCAUAGUUGCAUUUCAUGAUUAUGAAAUAUGGCAAAUGGAUGUCAAAACCGCUUUCCUUAAUGGAAAGUUGGUUGAGGAUAUUUACAUGAAUCAGCCAGAGGGUUUUGUCGAUGCAAAGUACCCUAAUAGAGUGUGUAAGCUUGAAAAAUCCAUUUAUGGAUUGAAACAAGCACCCGUAGAUGGAAUCUUUGCUUUGAUGAGAAAGUCAAAGAGUUUGGCUUUUUGAGGCGCGAGGAUGAGUCUUGUGUAUAUGUUAGGGCUAGUGGGAGUAUAGUUAGCUUUUUGGUACUGUAUGUGGAUGACAUACUACUCAUAGGAAAUGACAUCCCAACUUUUCAGGAGGUUGAGUCCUGGCUUGGGAAGUGUUUCACUAUGAAGGACCUUGGAGAAGCUGCCUAUAUCCUAGGGAUAAUGGUACUAAGAGACAGGAGUAAAAGACUAAUUGGACUCAGUCGGAGUACCUACUUGGAUAAAGUGUUGAAGAAGUUCAACAUGGAGAAUUCCAAGAAAGGGGAGUUACCGAUCCAACACAAUGCCAGACUGAGUAAAACUCAAAGUUCGAGUACAGAGGCUGAGAUAGCUGAGAUGAGUCGAUUACCAUAUGCUUCCGUUGUUGGAUCGAUCAUGUAUGCUAUGACUUGUACUCGCCCUGAUGUGGCCUUUGCCUUGAGCAUGGUCAACAAAUAUCAGGGAAACCCUGGCAAGGCUCACUAAACUACGGUAAAGAAUAAGUACCUGCGGAGGACUAAGGACUG
RNAcentral lists this long non-coding RNA (15679 nucleotides) under Lactuca sativa (garden lettuce). Its description in RNAcentral is "long non-coding RNA (LSAT_LNC003720)". Lineage: Eukaryota; Viridiplantae; Streptophyta; Magnoliopsida; Asterales; Asteraceae. The record is from RNAcentral.